GUGGGGAAUAUUGGGCAAUGGGCGAAAGCCUGACCCAGCAACGCCGCGUGAAGGAAGAAGGUCUUCGGAUCGUAAACUUCUAUCCUUGGUGAAGAUAAUGACGGUAGCCGAGAAGGAAGCCCCGGCUAACUACGUGCCAGCAGCCGCGGUAAUACGUAGGGGGCAAGCGUUGUCCGGAAUGAUUGGGCGUAAAGGGCGCGUAGGCGGCCUGGUAAGUCUGGAGUGAAAGUCCUGCUUUUAAGGUGGGAAUUGCUUUGGAUACUGUCGGGGUGGAGUGCAGGCGAGGUAAGUGGAAUUCCCGGUGUAGCGGUGAAAUGCGGAGAGAUCGGGAGGAACACCAGUGGCGAAGGCGACUUACUGGACUGUAACUGACGCUGAGGCGCGAAAGUGUGGGGAGCAAACAGGAUUAGAUACCCGUGUAGUCC
Molecule: ribosomal RNA, 425 nt
Filed under: uncultured bacterium
Lineage: Bacteria
Description: partial 16S ribosomal RNA
Rfam family: Bacterial small subunit ribosomal RNA
Source: RNAcentral